GCUGGGCACAGUGACUUGUGCCUGUAAUCCCAGCAUUUUGGGAGGCUGAGGUGGGUGGGUCACUUGAGGCCAGGAGUUCGAGACCAGCCUGGCCAACAUGGUGAAACCCCGCCUCCA
Non-coding RNA from Nomascus leucogenys (northern white-cheeked gibbon), 117 nucleotides. It matches the Rfam family "Metazoan signal recognition particle RNA". Rfam says of the family: The signal recognition particle (SRP) is a universally conserved ribonucleoprotein. It is involved in the co-translational targeting of proteins to membranes. The record is from Rfam. Lineage: Eukaryota; Metazoa; Chordata; Mammalia; Primates; Hylobatidae.